This 1641-nucleotide ribosomal RNA is filed under the name Triticum aestivum (bread wheat). Its description in RNAcentral is "partial small subunit ribosomal RNA". Lineage: Eukaryota; Viridiplantae; Streptophyta; Magnoliopsida; Poales; Poaceae. The record is from RNAcentral.
AUGGCUCCUGCAGCUAAUGGCUCACACGAGGACGAGGAUGUGGCUGACGUGCACAAGCCCCGGCCUUACACCCCUAGCCCCUGGGGUGACUUCUUCCUCAACCACAACUCAUGCACUCAAUCACAGUAUUUGGCUAUGAAGCACAUGGCAACCAUCAAGAAGGAACAAGUGAGAAAUAUCAUCUUGGAUGUGAAAUCUUCCUCCGAUUUAGUUGUGAAGAUCGAGCUUAUCGACACACUGGAACGCAUAGGUGUGGCAUAUCACUACCGCGAAGAUAUCAAUGAAAUACUAUGUGACAUGCACGACGAACAGGGCAUUGUUGACGACCUCCAUAUGACAGCGAUGCGGUUCUACUUGUUGAGGAAGCAUGGCUACCACAUCUCUUCUGAUGUGUUUCUGAAGUUUAGAGAUGACAAGGGAAACUUUGCGAGCGAUGAUCUGGUCUCGUUGUUGGCAUUGUACAAUGCAGCGUAUCUUAGGGUUCAUGGGGAAGAAGUCCUUGAUGACGCUAUUGUUUUCAGCAAGAGCCGUCUACAAUCUAUGUUGGAACAUCUAGACCCGCUGUUGGUAGAAGAGGUCCAGUGUACAUUGGAAACACCCCAUUUCAGGAGAGUUGAAAGAGUAGAAACAAGACGUUACAUCCCGGUAUAUGAGAAGAAGGCUACUCGAGAUGAGUGCAUAUUAGAGUUUGCUAAGUUGGAUUUCAACAUUUUGCAAACUCUUUAUUGUGAGGAGUUGAAAGCUCUUACAAUUUGGUGGAAUGACAUUCGAUCACAGUCAAAUCUACAAUUUGCACGAGAUAGGAUGGUGGAGAUGCAUUUUUGGAUGCUUGGAGUUGUCUAUGAGCCGCAAUAUUCCUAUACACGUAUGAUGCUGACAAAAUUGGUCAUGUUUGUGUCAUUAUUUGAUGACCUCUAUGACAACUAUAGCACCACUGAAGAAAGCAACAUCUUCACUGCAGCCAUGGAAAGGUGGGAUGAACAAGCCGUGGAGAAAUUCCCAGCAUACUUGAAGGCAUUAUACAUCAACAUACUUAACACUACAAAUGUUAUUGAUGAAGAGUUGAAGCGUCAGAAAAACAUGCAUGCUGGAUUGGCAAAAAAAAUGGUAAUUGACAUUGCCAAAUGCUAUCAUGCGGAGGUUAAAUGGCGGGAUGAACACUACGUACCAACUAGUGUUGAAGAGCAUCUACAAAUUUCAAUGCGCUCCAGCGCUUGUAUGCAAAUAAUAAGCCUUGUGUUCAUCUCAAUGGGUGAUAUAACUACAAGGGUGGUUCUUGAGUGGGAUUUUACUUAUCCAAAAAUAAUCAAAUGUGUAUGUAUUAUCGGCCGCAUUGGAAAUGACAUGGUGUCACAUGAGCGCGAACAACUAUCAGAGCACAUGGCAUCCACUGUACAAACUUGUACAAAAGAGCAUGGGAUCACGGUGGUAGAAGCCAAUGAGAAGCUUAAGGUAAUAAUUGAAGAAGCAUGGAUGGACAUAGUCCACGAAUGCCUCCAUAGGGAACAUCCAAUGGCACUUUUAGAGAAGGCGACUGAUCUUGCCCGGACAAUGGAUUUCAUGUACAAGCGUGAAGAUGCAUACACCCUCUCGUUUAGCCUCAAAGAGACAUUAACUUCACUUUACGUGAAUUUCAUAUGA